This 492-nucleotide ribosomal RNA is filed under the name uncultured bacterium. RNAcentral describes it as "SSU rRNA". It matches the Rfam family "Bacterial small subunit ribosomal RNA", at positions 26 to 518 of the family's 1533-position model. The record is from RNAcentral.
AGGACGAACGCUGGCGGCGUGCUUAACACAUGCAAGUGGAGCGACGAACCAGGGCUUGCCCUGGGGCAGAGCCGCGAACGGGUGAGUAACACGUGGGUUACCUGCCUUGAUGACUGGGACAACCCGAGGAAACUCGGGCUAAUACCGGAUGUGCCCGCAAGGGGAAAGGAAGCUUCGGCCUCCGCAUCAAGAUGGGCCCGCGGCCCAUUAGCUUGUUGGUGAGGUAACGGCUCACCAAGGCUUCGAUGGGUAGCUGGUCUGAGAGGACGAUCAGCCACACUGGGACUGAGACACGGCCCAGACUCCUACGGGAGGCAGCAGUGGGGAAUCUUGCGCAAUGCGCGAAAGCGUGACGCAGCAACGCCGCGUGGGGGAAGACGGCUUUCGGGUUGUAAACCCCUUUCAGUUGGGACGAAGCUUCUCCGGUGAAUAGCCGGACGGAGUGACGGUACCUUCACAAGAAGCACCGGCUAACUACGUGCCAGCAGCCGC